UGGGGAAUAUUGGACAAUGGGCGCAAGCCUGAUCCAGCCAUGCCGCGUGAGUGAUGAAGGCCCUAGGGUUGUAAAGCUCUUUCACCGGUGAAGAUAAUGACGGUAACCGGAGAAGAAGCCCCGGCUAACUUCGUGCCAGCAGCCGCGGUAAUACGAAGGGGGCUAGCGUUGUUCGGAUUUACUGGGCGUAAAGCGCACGUAGGCGGACUUUUAAGUCAGGGGUGAAAUCCCGGGGAUCAACCCCGGAACUGCCUUUGGUACUGGAAGUCUUGAGUAUGGUAGAGGUGAGUGGAAUUCCGAGUGUAGAGGUGAGAUUCGUAGAUAUUCGGGGGAACACCAGUGGCGAAGGCGGCUCACUGGACCAUUACUGACGCUGAGGUGCGAAAGCGUGGGGAGCAAACAGG
Molecule: ribosomal RNA, 404 nt
Filed under: Actinomycetes bacterium
Lineage: Bacteria; Bacillati; Actinomycetota; Actinomycetes
Description: Actinobacteria bacterium partial 16S ribosomal RNA
Rfam family: Bacterial small subunit ribosomal RNA
Source: RNAcentral